AUCGGGCGACAAUGUCCAACCGAACCGAACCGUCUCACUCUCCCACUUCAACGUUGAAAAAAAGGUUCCUCGGCGAAAGUAUGACACGCCGCUCUUUUCGACUAGACCACGCGCCACCAGUCCCUUUAGCUUCCCGCCUUUUGUCCUCCGUCUCUCUCUAGGUGUUGAUCUGAGGGGUUUUGGGCUUUAUGAGUCUGUAGCCGUCGAUGAUAACAGAAUGGGCGGAGUCACGUCUUCAAUUGCCGCCAAGUUCGCCUUCUUCCCACCGAGCCCUCCGUCAUACACUGUGAUAGAGGACGACACGCGUGGCGACCGAUUUUAUAUUCCCGAGGCCCCGAGGAGGGACGGCGUCAACGUGGAUGUCCUCAAGCUCCGGAACCGUAAAGGAAACGACAUCGUGGCCAUCCACGUCGAGAAUCACAAGGCAUCGGCCACUUUGCUCUACUCCCACGGGAAUGCCGCUGAUUUGGGACAGAUGUUCGAGCUCUUUGUCGAACUCAGCAUUCGGCUUCGCGUCAAUCUCAUGGGGUAUGAUUACUCUGGCUAUGGACAAUCAACUGGGAAGCCAUCUGAAUGUAAUACAUAUGCAGACAUUGAUGCAGCAUAUAAAUGCCUCAAGGAGAAGUAUGGUGUUAAAGAUGAACAAUUAGUAUUAUAUGGUCAGUCUGUCGGUAGUGGGCCCACUCUUGAUCUUGCUUCAAGAAUACCAAAGUUAAGUGGAGUAGUUUUGCAUAGCCCAAUUCUGUCUGGGCUGAGAGUAUUGUACCCAGUUAAACGGACAUACUGGUUUGAUAUCUUUAAGAAUAUAGACAAAAUUGGUAUCGUGAGCUGUCCUGUUCUCGUUAUACAUGGGACUGCAGAUGAAGUUGUGGAUUGGUCCCAUGGGAAGCAGCUUUGGGAGCUUUCCAAGGAAAAGUUCGAACCAUUGUGGUUAAGUGGAGGUGGACAUUGCAACCUUGAGCUUUACCCAUUGUUCAUUAGACAUCUGAAGAAGUUUGUACGGGCAGUUGCCAAAAUGAAAGCAACCACAAAUGGUUCUCAUAAAACUGCAGUAGAAUCUGAUGCUCAGAGCAGACCAUCUGAAACUGGAACUACAGAUAAAUUUGAAUUGGGCCCGGAUCUCCAAGAAGCUUCUAGAAACAGUUUAGAUAGCCGACUCGAGAAGUCUAGAAAGUCAAACAAGCCUGAAAAGUCUCGCAUGAGCACUGACCGUGUUGACAGGUUUAGAAGAAAGGGCUUAGUCUGGUGACUAAUUUACACACACAGGCUCACAGCAAUUAAAUAAAUAAUGGAGCUAAUAUAUACCUGGGAAGUUUUUGUUAGGGGUUGGGCUUGUUUUGAAGUCUUCUGUUGGAUCGUAUCAUAGGAUUUGGGAAUUGUAAGUCAACUGGCUGAGCUGCAUUUGGCCAUUCGAAGUGUUAGCAAAUGAAAUUGCCAGAAUGUGGAAGGGCAAUGACAACUUUGUGUGCAUUGCGUUUUCGUUUACUUGUAGCUGAUUGAGAUGAUUAGAUGGUGCGUCUCCCUGAAAAAUGGGAAACUGAGUAAAGCGUUAUGAGAUUUGAGCCGAAGUUCUCUCAGAGCAGAUUAUCACAAAUCGCUGAAGGAAGAUAGGAACAAAACAAAUUAUGCUUUAAUACUGGUUUGACAAAUAAUUGCUGUAAACAUUCAGGUAAAUAAUUCCCAGAAAAUUAUCGGGGUUUACAGGAUUUAAGCCGAAGUUCUCUCAGACCAAACCAUCAGUC
Molecule: RNA transcript, 1742 nt
Organism: Juglans microcarpa x Juglans regia
Lineage: Eukaryota; Viridiplantae; Streptophyta; Magnoliopsida; Fagales; Juglandaceae
Gene name: alpha/beta hydrolase domain-containing protein 17C-like
Exons: 7
Source: RefSeq, a predicted model, not a curated record